CAUUCACGGAGAGUUUGAUCCUGGCUCAGGACGAACGCUGGCGGCGUGCUUAACACAUGCAAGUCGAACGAUGAACCACUUCGGUGGGGAUUAGUGGCGAACGGGUGAGUAACACGUGGGCAAUCUGCCCUGCACUCUGGGACAAGCCCUGGAAACGGGGUCUAAUACCGGAUACUGACCCGCUUGGGCAUCCAAGCGGUUCGAAAGCUCCGGCGGUGCAGGAUGAGCCCGCGGCCUAUCAGCUUGUUGGUGAGGUAAUGGCUCACCAAGGCGACGACGGGUAGCCGGCCUGAGAGGGCGACCGGCCACACUGGGACUGAGACACGGCCCAGACUCCUACGGGAGGCAGCAGUGGGGAAUAUUGCACAAUGGGCGAAAGCCUGAUGCAGCGACG
Molecule: ribosomal RNA, 394 nt
Filed under: Actinospica acidiphila
Lineage: Bacteria; Bacillati; Actinomycetota; Actinomycetes; Catenulisporales; Actinospicaceae
Description: bacterial SSU rRNA
Rfam family: Bacterial small subunit ribosomal RNA
Source: RNAcentral